Molecule: non-coding RNA, 87 nt
Organism: Mycena albidolilacea
Lineage: Eukaryota; Fungi; Basidiomycota; Agaricomycetes; Agaricales; Mycenaceae
Source: the annotation of a GenBank genome assembly
GGGCGUAUGGUGUAGUUGGUUAUCACGCUCGCUUAGCAUCUUACAUAAGCUUGCGAGAGGUGUCCGGUUCAAUUCCGGAUUCGUCCA